RNAcentral lists this ribosomal RNA (109 nucleotides) under Citrobacter koseri. Lineage: Bacteria; Pseudomonadati; Pseudomonadota; Gammaproteobacteria; Enterobacterales; Enterobacteriaceae. RNAcentral also lists the same sequence under 1 other name. The record is from RNAcentral.
GCCGUAGCGCGGUGGUCCCACCUGACCCCAUGCCGAACUCAGAAGUGAAACGCCGUAGCGCCGAUGGUAGUGUGGGGUCUCCCCAUGCGAGAGUAGGGAACUGCCAGAC